RNAcentral lists this ribosomal RNA (278 nucleotides) under uncultured bacterium. RNAcentral describes it as "partial 16S ribosomal RNA". It matches the Rfam family "Bacterial small subunit ribosomal RNA", at positions 32 to 319 of the family's 1533-position model. The record is from RNAcentral.
AAUCAACGCUGACGGCGUGCCUAACACAUGCAAGUCGAACGAGAAAGUGGAGCAAUCCAUGAGUACAGUGGCGCACGGGUGAGUAACACGUGACUAACCUACCCUCGAGUGGGGAAUAACUCCGGGAAACCGGGGCUAACACCGCAUAAUAUCGAAAGAUCAAAUGCGCAAGCAGCUUGAGGAGGGGGUCGCGGCUGAUUAGCUAGUUGGUGAGGUAAUGGCNCACCAAGGCUAUGAUCAGUAGCCGGCCUGAGAGGGCGGCACGGCCACACUGGAAC